CAGCCGCCACGGGAAUACGUAGGUGGCAAGCGUUGUCCGGAAUUAUUGGGCGUAAAGGGCUCGCAGGCGGUUUCUUAAGUCUGAUGUGAAAGCCCCCGGCUCAACCGGGGAGGGUCAUUGGAAACUGGGAAACUUGAGUGCAGAAGAGGAGAGUGGAAUUCCACGUGUAGCGGUGAAAUGCGUAGAGGUGUGGAGGAACACCAGUGGCGAAGGCGACUCUCUGGUCUGUAACUGACGCUGAGGAGCGAAAGCGUGGGGAGCGAACAGGAUUAGAUACCCGAGUAGUCCCUGUCUCUUAUAC
Molecule: ribosomal RNA, 301 nt
Filed under: uncultured bacterium
Lineage: Bacteria
Description: partial 16S ribosomal RNA
Rfam family: Bacterial small subunit ribosomal RNA
Source: RNAcentral